AACGCACAUUGCGCCUUCUGGUAUUCCGGGAGGCAUGCUUGUUUGAGUAUCAGUAAACACCUCGACUUUUUUCCCUCUCUCAUAGAUGUGGGGGGUGGGUUCAAGUUGGACUUGAGCAGUUUCCAAACUUCCUCAAAUUUGAGGAGUGUGCGGAAUGCUUAAAAUGCAGGUGCAGCUGGGGAUUCCCCAUUUCAUUGUCCUAGGCUACAAGCAUUUCUGCUUAAUCCCGUCAAACCGGAUUAUACCUUUUUGCUGCAGCCAAACGAUAGUUGGGCCCGAAACGCUGACUGAUGCAGGAUGUAUGACACAGAUUUCGAUCUUUGUCUGUUCCACUCGAUCUCAAAUCAAGUAAGACUACCCGCUGAACUUAA
This 371-nucleotide unclassified non-coding RNA is filed under the name uncultured Mortierellales. Its description in RNAcentral is "sequence contains 5.8S rRNA gene, ITS2, 28S rRNA gene". Lineage: Eukaryota; Fungi; Mortierellomycota; Mortierellomycetes; Mortierellales. The record is from RNAcentral.